GUCGAACGGCAGCGCGGGCUUCGGCCUGGCGGCGAGUGGCGAACGGGUGAGUAAUACAUCGGAACGUGCCCUGUUGUGGGGGAUAACUAGUCGAAAGAUUAGCUAAUACCGCAUACGACCUGAGGGUGAAAGCGGGGGACCGCAAGGCCUCGCGCAAUAGGAGCGGCCGAUGUCUGAUUAGCUAGUUGGUGGGGUAAAGGCCUACCAAGGCGACGACCAGUAGCUGGUCUGAGAGGACGAUCAGCCACACUGGGACUGAGACACGGCCCAGACUCCUACGGGAGGCAGCAGUGGGGAAUUUUGGACAAUGGGGGCAACCCUGAUCCAGCAAUGCCGCGUGUGUGAAGAAGGCCUUCGGGUUGUAAAGCACUUUUGUCCGGAAAGAAAUCGCGCUGGCUAAUACCUGGCGUGGAUGACGGUACCGGAAGAAUAAGCACCGGCUAACUACGUGCCAGCAGCCGCGGUAAUACGUAGGGUGCGAGCGUUAAUCGGAAUUACUGGGCGUAAAGCGUGCGCAGGCGGUUUUGUAAGACAGGCGUGAAAUCCCCGAGCUCAACUUGGGAAUGGCGCUUGUGACUGCAAGGCUAGAGUAUGUCAGAGGGGGGUAGAAUUCCACGUGUAGCAGUGAAAUGC
Molecule: ribosomal RNA, 633 nt
Filed under: uncultured bacterium
Lineage: Bacteria
Description: bacterial SSU rRNA
Rfam family: Bacterial small subunit ribosomal RNA
Source: RNAcentral